This 430-nucleotide ribosomal RNA is filed under the name uncultured bacterium. Its description in RNAcentral is "bacterial SSU rRNA". It matches the Rfam family "Bacterial small subunit ribosomal RNA", at positions 355 to 776 of the family's 1533-position model. The record is from RNAcentral.
UGGGGAAUUGUUCGCAAUGGGCGCAAGCCUGACGACGCAACGCCGCGUGGAGGACGAAGAUCUUCGGGUUGUAAACUCCUGUCGAGCGGGACGAAAAGUGAUCGGGUUAAUACCCCGGACGCCUGACGGUACCGCUAAAGGAAGCCCCGGCUAACUCCGUGCCAGCAGCCGCGGUAAUACGGGGGGGGCAAGCGUUGUUCGGAAUUACUGGGCGUAAAGGGCUCGUAGGCGGCCAUCCAAGUCGGACGUGAAAUCCCUCGGCUUAACCGAGGAACUGCGUUCGAUACUGGUUGGCUUGAAGCCGGGAGAGGGAUGCGGAAUUCCAGGUGUAGCGGUGAAAUGCGUAGAUAUCUGGAGGAACACCGGUGGCGAAGGCGGCAUCCUGGACCGGUCUUGACGCUGAGGAGCGAAAGCUAGGGGAGCAAACGGG